RNAcentral lists this ribosomal RNA (305 nucleotides) under uncultured bacterium. RNAcentral's name for it is "bacterial SSU rRNA". It matches the Rfam family "Bacterial small subunit ribosomal RNA", at positions 333 to 636 of the family's 1533-position model. The record is from RNAcentral.
UGUUGCCUACGGGACGCAGCAGUGAGGAAUACUGGUCAAUGGUCGGGAGACUGAACCAGCCAAGCCGCGUGAGGGAGGAAGGUACAGAGUAUCGUAAACCUCUUUUGUCAGGGAACAAAGGCGGGGACGUGUCCCCGGAUGAGUGUACCUGAAGAAAAAGCAUCGGCUAACUCCGUGCCAGCAGCCGCGGUAAUACGGAGGAUGCGAGCGUUAUCCGGAUCUAUUGGGUUUAAAGGGUGCGCAGGCGGUCUGUUAAGUCAGCGGUCAAAGCCCGGGGCUCAACCCCCGCCCGCCGGUGAAACUGG